GGGAGUGUAGCUCAGUUGGUAGAGCAACGCACUUUUAAUGCGUAGGUCUUGGGUUCGAGCCCCAACACUCUCA
RNAcentral lists this transfer RNA (73 nucleotides) under Phycisphaerae bacterium. RNAcentral describes it as "tRNA-Lys". It matches the Rfam family "tRNA". From Rfam's summary of the family: Transfer RNA (tRNA) molecules are approximately 80 nucleotides in length. Their secondary structure includes four short double-helical elements and three loops (D, anti-codon, and T loops). Lineage: Bacteria; Pseudomonadati; Planctomycetota; Phycisphaerae. RNAcentral also lists the same sequence under 1 other name. The record is from RNAcentral.